Molecule: ribosomal RNA, 388 nt
Filed under: uncultured bacterium
Lineage: Bacteria
Description: bacterial SSU rRNA
Rfam family: Bacterial small subunit ribosomal RNA
Source: RNAcentral
GACGAACGCUGGCGGCGUGCUUAACACAUGCAAGUCGAGCGGUAAGGCCCUUUCGGGGGUACACGAGCGGCGAACGGGUGAGUAACACGUGGGCGACCUGCCCUCAGCUCUGGGAUAAGCCUGGGAAACCGGGUCUAAUACUGGAUAUGACUCCAUGACGCAUGUUGUGGGGUGGAAAGCCUUGUGCGGCUGAGGAUGGGCCCGCGGCCUAUCAGCUUGUUGGUGGGGUGANGGCCUACCAAGGCGACGACGGGUAGCCGGCCUGAGAGGGCGACCGGCCACACUGGGACUGAGACACGGCCCAGACUCCUACGGGAGGCAGCAGUGGGGAAUCUUGCGCAAUGGGCGAAAGCCUGACGCAGCGACGCCGCGUGAGGGAUGACGGCCU